This 342-nucleotide ribosomal RNA is filed under the name Xenotyphlops grandidieri. RNAcentral's name for it is "partial 12S ribosomal RNA". It matches the Rfam family "Bacterial small subunit ribosomal RNA", at positions 878 to 1384 of the family's 1533-position model. Lineage: Eukaryota; Metazoa; Chordata; Lepidosauria; Squamata; Typhlopidae. The record is from RNAcentral.
UAUUACGAGUGAAAACUUAAAACUCAAAGGACUUGACGGUGUCCCACAUCCAACCUAGAGGAGCCUGUCCUAUAAUCGAUGAUCCACGAUAAACCUCACCACCCCUAGCCUUAACAGCCUGUAUACCGCCGUCACAAGCCCACCCCCUGAGGGUAACAAAAGUGGGCAAGAUAGUCCAACGCUAAUAUGUCAGGUCAAGGUGUAGCUGAUGGGGUGGGCAGAGAUGGGCUACAUUUCCUACAAAGGAAAUACGGACGACACAAUGAAAAACUGUCAGAAGGCGGAUUUAGUAGUAAAACACGAACCAGCAAGUCUGUUUGAACAAAUUGCCCCGGGACGCGU